AGAUUAAGUUAUUAAGGGCGCACGGUGGAUGCCUUGGCACUAGAAGCCGAUGAAGGACGUUACUAACGACGAUAUGCUUUGGGGAGCUGUAAGUAAGCUUUGAUCCAGAGAUUUCCGAAUGGGGAAACCCAGCAUGAGUUAUGUCAUGUUAUCGAUAUGUGAAUACAUAGCAUAUCAGAAGGCACACCCGGAGAACUGAAACAUCUUAGUACCCGGAGGAAGAAAAAGAAAAUUCGAUUCCCUUAGUAGCGGCGAGCGAAACGGGAAGAGCCCAAACCAACAAGCUUGCUUGUUGGGGUUGUAGGACACUCUAUACGGAGUUACAAAGGACGACAUUAGACGAAUCAUCUGGAAAGAUGAAUCAAAGAAGGUAAUAAUCCUGUAGUCGAAAAUGUUGUCUCUCUUGAGUGGAUCCUGAGUACGACGGAACACGUGAAAUUCCGUCGGAAUCUGGGAGGACCAUCUCCUAAGGCUAAAUACUCUCUAGUGACCGAUAGUGAACCAGUACCGUGAGGGAAAGGUGAAAAGCACCCCGGAAGGGGAGUGAAAUAGAACCUGAAACCGUGUGCUUACAAGUAGUCAGAGCCCGUUAAUGGGUGAUGGCGUGCCUUUUGUAGAAUGAACCGGCGAGUUACGAUUUGAUGCAAGGUUAAGCAGUAAAUGUGGAGCCGUAGCGAAAGCGAGUCUGAAUAGGGCGUUUAGUAUUUGGUCGUAGACCCGAAACCAGGUGAUCUACCCUUGGUCAGGUUGAAGUUCAGGUAACACUGAAUGGAGGACCGAACCGACUUACGUUGAAAAGUGAGCGGAUGAACUGAGGGUAGCGGAGAAAUUCCAAUCGAACCUGGAGAUAGCUGGUCCUCUCCGAAAUAGCUUUAGGGCUAGCCUCAAGUGAUGAUUAUUGGAGGUAGAGCACUGUUUGGACGAGGGGCCCCUCUCGGGUUACCGAAUUCAGACAAACUCCGAAUGCCAAUUAAUUUAACUUGGGAGUCAGAACAUGGGUGAUAAGGUCCGUGUUCGAAAGGGAAACAGCCCAGACCACCAGCUAAGGUCCCAAAAUAUAUGUUAAGUGGAAAAGGAUGUGGCGUUGCCCAGACAACUAGGAUGUUGGCUUAGAAGCAGCCAUCAUUUAAAGAGUGCGUAAUAGCUCACUAGUCGAGUGACACUGCGCCGAAAAUGUACCGGGGCUAAACAUAUUACCGAAGCUGUGGAUUGUCCUUUGGACAAUGGUAGGAGAGCGUUCUAAGGGCGUUGAAGCAUGAUCGUAAGGACAUGUGGAGUGCUUAGAAGUGAGAAUGCCGGUGUGAGUAGCGAAAGACGGGUGAGAAUCCCGUCCACCGAUUGACUAAGGUUUCCAGAGGAAGGCUCGUCCGCUCUGGGUUAGUCGGGUCCUAAGCUGAGGCCGACAGGCGUAGGCGAUGGAUAACAGGUUGAUAUUCCUGUACCACCUAUAAUCGUUUUAAUCGAUGGGGGGACGCAGUAGGAUAGGCGAAGCGUGCGAUUGGAUUGCACGUCUAAGCAGUAAGGCUGAGUAUUAGGCAAAUCCGGUACUCGUUAAGGCUGAGCUGUGAUGGGGAGAAGACAUUGUGUCUUCGAGUCGUUGAUUUCACACUGCCGAGAAAAGCCUCUAGAU
RNAcentral lists this ribosomal RNA (1630 nucleotides) under Staphylococcus aureus. RNAcentral describes it as "bacterial LSU rRNA". It matches the Rfam family "Bacterial large subunit ribosomal RNA", at positions 1 to 1627 of the family's 2925-position model. Lineage: Bacteria; Bacillati; Bacillota; Bacilli; Caryophanales; Staphylococcaceae. The record is from RNAcentral.